GGCAGCUGCAGGGGAAGGCUUGCAAACACCAGCACACGGCAGCUGCCCAGGGGAGUCAUCUUUCCUUUUCUUCAUUUCCAGAAAGGGAGGAAAAUGGAUUCCCUGACACACGCUCUGUUUUUCACAUGAAUAAGGAAUAACAACCCCAGCACAGAUAACUCGUAGCUGCUGUAGGUGAACAAGAACAGCAGCAACACUGAGACGUGUGAGAAGGAGUAUAGGAAACCUGUGUGGAGAACAAGAAGAGGGAAAGAAAGGAAGGGGAGUAGGAGAGUGGAAAGAAGAGCUGGGGUUAUCCCAUCUGGAGAACAACAUUCAGCUAAGGCACUGUAGCACCAAGCAGCCUGGCGUGUUUCCAGCAACAGGGUAACCAGGAAAAAAAAACAGACUCUAUAACCCCAGUCAGGAUUUUCAGUUAGUUCAUCUCCUAGACCUUAAUUACUUCAAUGAGUUUGGAGUCUUGAUCUUUAAAAUCAAACUAGAGAAAGAAAACCUCCAAGAUAAUGGUAAGUAAAAACUGCUUCUGUGUUUUCAGUAGUGACCUAAAAGCCUGCAAGACCUGUUUUUAAACAAGGUCCCUUUGUCAAAGCACAUUUACCUGUAAAAACUACAGUUUCAUUUUUCUGUAGAGACAAACCAGACAAAACAGCUUUGAAAACAAUCUCUGAAACACUGCCUCAGCCAUGCCUUCUAGGAAUUUGGUGAGGAGCAGAUCCUGAAGUUGAAGGCUGAACAUAGAGUUCCUGAAUGUAUGAAGUCUGGGCACCAUUUUCCAACUUUUCCUUUCAAGCAAAGUUUCUUCCGCAUUGCCUGUGACACAGGCCAUUCUUUGCAGUAAAAACUCAAGAAGCUUUGUGACACCAGAUGUAAUCACCACUGUCCAGUUCCUCAGUCCUGCUGACACUGGGAACACUGGUACCACAAGAGACCAAAUGUCAAUUCUGUAAUACAUCAGAGCUGUAAAGCACAGCCACAAAGGUCUCCUGUUGAUUGAGACAAGAAAAAUCCAAACCUAGGGCAAUUUUAGAAUGCAGAUAUUAAGUGUGAAAUAUAAUUUAAGUGAUAAGAAGAUUUGAAGGAAAAUAUCAUAAAAUCAUUAAGGCCUGAAAAGACCACUAAGACCACCUUGUCCAGCCAUCAACCCACCAUAAGAAAAAAAAAAAAUCAAGCGAUGAACCACACUCUUCCCACAGUGUUGUCACUAUGAGAAGGCAACCCUUGCCUCCAGCAGGUGGAUCUAACCUGCCAUCCCCUUCAAAUAUCACAGAAGCAACAAUUUGGCAUAAAACAAAAGGGAUUUUUCAAACAAGCAUGAAAACAUUCAAGACAUUUAAGAGGAGACAAGCUUCUAGGAUUUAGCAACAAAAAUGUGGUAGAGAACAAGGAUUUGGAGUUUGGUAGGUAAAGUUACUAUAGACAGCUUUGGAUGGAUCUUCAGUAGGGAUGGCUUAACAACAGGAGUUUCUCAACAGGCAUCCCAAACUUCAAAAGCCCAGUCUGGCUAUUUCUCCCAGCCUUGGGUUGUGCAAAUGGCUGCAAAAACUUGGCAACUGAAGUCCAUUUUACAGAGAGCAAGUGUGAUCACACAUACCACCAGCAGGACUUCCCAGAUGCAAAGAGAAGACAAGAUUGGGAAUCCCAUGCGGGGGUGGUGAUGGCUCUUCCCUGGUGAACAGGGUUUACUGACAAAGGUGAAAUCUUGACAAUUUCCUGGGUGCUGCCUGGAUGGAUACAGAGGUUAUGUGGGCUGUGAUACUGCAGGCUGUGUCCAAAAGAAGCCCAAAGUACAGGAGGACGAUAAAUGUUAGGCGAGAGCCAGGCACAGAGGCAACCUUUAUGCAGUUUGCAACUCCUUCUGUUGGUACAUGCUUCUGGAGGACAAAGCAGCAGCUCUGCCAGCAUGAUUUCACACCACCUCACUUGAACCAGGAGCAGGUUACCAUCAUUUGUCACAAAACCUCCUAGAUGCCUCAGUUUCACAUGUAUUUCACUCAUUCUUUCUAGUUUGCUGUUUCUAGACCUUCAUAUAGUAAGUACUUGCAAUGAAUGUGUUCUCAUUUAACAUUAUUCUGUAAAACAAAACAGGCUUUUCUACUUUCAGCUACCUAAAAAAGUACCUUUUGGGUAUAUCGAACAAGGAAGGUAAGAACACAGGUUACAAUACAGUUGUUAAAGUAACCACAUUCAUACAAUGAAUAAGUAUUGAUUUCUCCAUCAACCAUAGCUUUCCCUCUUUCUGUUCAUGUAUUCCAUCUUUCUGAAUUGCAUGCAUUUUCACUGUAAAAAAAAUAAAUGAGUAUAUAUAUUUGGC
This is a long non-coding RNA of Gallus gallus (chicken), 2311 nucleotides long. RefSeq lists it as uncharacterized. The record is from RefSeq and is a predicted model, not a curated record. The transcript has 3 exons. Lineage: Eukaryota; Metazoa; Chordata; Aves; Galliformes; Phasianidae.